Molecule: long non-coding RNA, 960 nt
Organism: Microcebus murinus (gray mouse lemur)
Lineage: Eukaryota; Metazoa; Chordata; Mammalia; Primates; Cheirogaleidae
Source: RefSeq, a predicted model, not a curated record
CCCCUCUCCAGCCGCAGUGGGGGUGCGGGUGCAGCUCCCCACUUCCCCCCAGGCUCUCUCCCUCAGGGGCUCGGGAGAGGGACGAACUUGUCAGCUGGGCAGGGGCCAGGGAUGUGUGCCCAGGGCGGUUCGGGGGAGAGAGUGAGCGGCUGGCCCUUCACUAGGAGAGAGCGCGCAUGGCACAGGGCAGGAGGCUCCCCGGACGGGCGUGGCAUCUUCUGGUGAGAACGUGGUGUGUCCCAGGACCACCUGAGGCUUACAGGAGCCCAGAGGAUGUGGACCCCUUGGCUCCCUGAUGGAAGAGUUGGACGGGAGGCAUGGGUCUGUGGCUGCAGACCUGAGUCAAGUUGAAGAGCAAGAUCUUGCCUGUGAUCUGUGAAGGAGCUUGUGAAAAACUAAACCCAACCCAACCUGCCCUCCAGGUUUGAACUGUCGAAACUCUGCGGCAGCGAGGGGGCAUUCUAGAGGAGAGAGGAAGCAGGCCAUGAAACAGAUUUGCAGCUGCCUGCAGUGGUGGUGUGCGGUUCCCCUCUAACCACCUGUGUGCCCCUGGGCAAGUGACCCAACCCCUCUGGGACUACUUAUGACAUGAAGCUGGACUGGGGAGCUCCACAAUCCCUUCAUAAUAGGGGAUUUUGACUAGCUUAAAGGGAAAAGCCAGGGAGAGCCAGAGGGGCUCCUGACAUUUGGCUGUCUACCCCCAGAGGUGUGUGCUCACCCCGUUCCAUUAGCACAAAAGGUACUCACUGUGAUGUCAUGAGCGUAGGGGUGACACCCACACUGGUGCCUCCCCCAGUUUGUAUUUGAUGUAUUACUCAAGCCAUCACCGAGCAACAUGGUAUCUCUCAUUGACAAGCUGUGUGACCCUGCGCAGGUUACUCCACCCCUCUGAUCUUCAAUUUCUUCCUCUAAAGUAUGGUGCCAUGUGAAACUUUUACAAUGGUAAAUCACAAUAAAUAU